This 2898-nucleotide ribosomal RNA is filed under the name Klebsiella pneumoniae. RNAcentral describes it as "23S ribosomal RNA". It matches the Rfam family "Bacterial large subunit ribosomal RNA". The record is from RNAcentral. Lineage: Bacteria; Pseudomonadati; Pseudomonadota; Gammaproteobacteria; Enterobacterales; Enterobacteriaceae.
UUAAGCGACUAAGCGUACACGGUGGAUGCCCUGGCAGUCAGAGGCGAUGAAGGACGUGCUAAUCUGCGAAAAGCGUCGGUAAGGUGAUAUGAACCGUUAUAACCGGCGAUGUCCGAAUGGGGAAACCCAGUGCAAUUCGUUGCACUAUCGUUAACUGAAUACAUAGGUUAACGAGGCGAACCGGGGGAACUGAAACAUCUAAGUACCCCGAGGAAAAGAAAUCAACCGAGAUUCCCCCAGUAGCGGCGAGCGAACGGGGAGCAGCCCAGAGUCUGAAUCAGCUUGUGUGUUAGUGGAACGGUCUGGAAAGUCCGACGGUACAGGGUGAUAGUCCCGUACACCAAAAUGCACAGGCUGUGAACUCGAAGAGUAGGGCGGGACACGUGGUAUCCUGUCUGAAUAUGGGGGGACCAUCCUCCAAGGCUAAAUACUCCUGACUGACCGAUAGUGAACCAGUACCGUGAGGGAAAGGCGAAAAGAACCCCGGCGAGGGGAGUGAAAAAGAACCUGAAACCGUGUACGUACAAGCAGUGGGAGCACCUUCGGGUGUGACUGCGUACCUUUUGUAUAAUGGGUCAGCGACUUAUAUUCUGUAGCAAGGUUAACCGUAUAGGGGAGCCGCAGGAAACCGAGUCUUAACUGGGCGUUAAGUUGCAGGGUAUAGACCCGAAACCCGGUGAUUCAGCCAUGGGCAGGUUGAAGGUUGGGUAACACUAACUGGAGGACCGAACCGACUAAUGUUGAAAAAUUAGCGGAUGACUUGUGGCUGGGGGUGAAAGGCCAAUCAAACCGGGAGAUAGCUGGUUCUCCCCGAAAGCUAUUUAGGUAGCGCCUCGUGAACUCAUCUUCGGGGGUAGAGCACUGUUUCGGCUAGGGGGUCAUCCCGACUUACCAACCCGAUGCAAACUACGAAUACCGAAGAAUGUUAUCACGGGAGACACACGGCGGGUGCUAACGUCCGUCGUGAAGAGGGAAACAACCCAGACCGCCAGCUAAGGUCCCAAAGUCAUGGUUAAGUGGGAAACGAUGUGGGAAGGCACAGACAGCCAGGAUGUUGGCUUAGAAGCAGCCAUCAUUUAAAGAAAGCGUAAUAGCUCACUGGUCGAGUCGGCCUGCGCGGAAGAUGUAACGGGGCUAAACCAUGCACCGAAGCUGCGGCAGCGACACUAUGUGUUGUUGGGUAGGGGAGCGUUCUGUAAGCCUGCGAAGGUGUGCUGUGAGGCAUGCUGGAGGUAUCAGAAGUGCGAAUGCUGACAUAAGUAACGAUAAAGCGGGUGAAAAGCCCGCUCGCCGGAAGACCAAGGGUUCCUGUCCAACGUUAAUCGGGGCAGGGUGAGUCGACCCCUAAGGCGAGGCCGAAAGGCGUAGUCGAUGGGAAACAGGUUAAUAUUCCUGUACUUGGUGUUACUGCGAAGGGGGGACGGAGAAGGCUAUGUUAGCCGGGCGACGGUUGUCCCGGUUUAAGCAUGUAGGCUGGUUGUCCAGGCAAAUCCGGAUAAUCAAGGCUGAGGUGUGAUGACGAGGCACUACGGUGCUGAAGUAACAAAUGCCCUGCUUCCAGGAAAAGCCUCUAAGCAUCAGGUAACAUCAAAUCGUACCCCAAACCGACACAGGUGGUCAGGUAGAGAAUACCAAGGCGCUUGAGAGAACUCGGGUGAAGGAACUAGGCAAAAUGGUGCCGUAACUUCGGGAGAAGGCACGCUGGUGUGUAGGUGAAGCCCCUGCGGGUGGAGCUGAGACCAGUCGAAGAUACCAGCUGGCUGCAACUGUUUAUUAAAAACACAGCACUGUGCAAACACGAAAGUGGACGUAUACGGUGUGACGCCUGCCCGGUGCCGGAAGGUUAAUUGAUGGGGUUAUCCGUAAGGAGAAGCUCUUGAUCGAAGCCCCGGUAAACGGCGGCCGUAACUAUAACGGUCCUAAGGUAGCGAAAUUCCUUGUCGGGUAAGUUCCGACCUGCACGAAUGGCGUAAUGAUGGCCAGGCUGUCUCCACCCGAGACUCAGUGAAAUUGAACUCGCUGUGAAGAUGCAGUGUACCCGCGGCAAGACGGAAAGACCCCGUGAACCUUUACUAUAGCUUGACACUGAACAUUGAGCCUUGAUGUGUAGGAUAGGUGGGAGGCUUUGAAGCGUGGACGCCAGUCUGCGUGGAGCCAACCUUGAAAUACCACCCUUUAAUGUUUGAUGUUCUAACGUUGGCCCCUUACCGGGGUUGCGGACAGUGUCUGGUGGGUAGUUUGACUGGGGCGGUCUCCUCCCAAAGCGUAACGGAGGAGCACGAAGGUUAGCUAAUCCUGGUCGGACAUCAGGAGGUUAGUGCAAUGGCAUAAGCUAGCUUGACUGCGAGCGUGACGGCGCGAGCAGGUGCGAAAGCAGGUCAUAGUGAUCCGGUGGUUCUGAAUGGAAGGGCCAUCGCUCAACGGAUAAAAGGUACUCCGGGGAUAACAGGCUGAUACCGCCCAAGAGUUCAUAUCGACGGCGGUGUUUGGCACCUCGAUGUCGGCUCAUCACAUCCUGGGGCUGAAGUAGGUCCCAAGGGUAUGGCUGUUCGCCAUUUAAAGUGGUACGCGAGCUGGGUUUAGAACGUCGUGAGACAGUUCGGUCCCUAUCUGCCGUGGGCGCUGGAGAAUUGAGGGGGGCUGCUCCUAGUACGAGAGGACCGGAGUGGACGCAUCACUGGUGUUCGGGUUGUCAUGCCAAUGGCACUGCCCGGUAGCUAAAUGCGGAAGAGAUAAGUGCUGAAAGCAUCUAAGCACGAAACUUGCCCCGAGAUGAGUUCUCCCUGAGACUUUAAGUCUCCUGAAGGAACGUUGAAGACGACGACGUUGAUAGGCCGGGUGUGUAAGCGCAGCGAUGCGUUGAGCUAACCGGUACUAAUGAACCGUGAGGCUUAACCU